ACGCUGUGCUAUAUUUCCACCGGAGCUUGCUCCACCGGAAAAAGAGGAGUGGCGAACGGGUGAGUAACACGUGGGUAACCUGCCCAUCAGAAGGGGAUAACACUUGGAAACAGGUGCUAAUACCGUAUAACAAUCAAAACCGCAUGGUUUUGAUUUGAAAGGCGCUUUCGGGUGUCGCUGAUGGAUGGACCCGCGGUGCAUUAGCUAGUUGGUGAGGUAACGGCUCACCAAGGCCACGAUGCAUAGCCGACCUGAGAGGGUGAUCGGCCACAUUGGGACUGAGACACGGCCCAAACUCCUACGGGAGGCAGCAGUAGGGAAUCUUCGGCAAUGGACGAAAGUCUGACCGAGCAACGCCGCGUGAGUGAAGAAGGUUUUCGGAUCGUAAAACUCUGUUGUUAGAGAAGAACAAGGAUGAGAGUAACUGUUCAUCCCUUGACGGUAUCUAACCAGAAAGCCACGGCUAACUACGUGCCAGCAGCCGCGGUAAUACGUAGGUGGCAAGCGUUGUCCGGAUUUAUUGGGCGUAAAGCGAGCGCAGGCGGUUUCUUAAGUCUGAUGUGAAAGCCCCCGGCUCAACCGGGGAGGGUCAUUGGAAACUGGGAGACUUGAGUGCAGAAGAGGAGAGUGGAAUUCCAUGUGUAGCGGUGAAAUGCGUAGAUAUAUGGAGGAACACCAGUGGCGAAGGCGGCUCUCUGGUCUGUAACUGACGCUGAGGCUCGAAAGCGUGGGG
Molecule: ribosomal RNA, 733 nt
Filed under: Enterococcus sp. M274
Lineage: Bacteria; Bacillati; Bacillota; Bacilli; Lactobacillales; Enterococcaceae
Description: bacterial SSU rRNA
Rfam family: Bacterial small subunit ribosomal RNA
Source: RNAcentral